AGGGCUGCAAGGAAAUCUGGAGCUGUUCAAUAUCUCGCCUAGUCUGCAUUUUGAGCUACUGAUAUUUGCUGACAGAACUAAUGGCUGAAUUCCUAUCGGUGAGGCCAGGGAGCAUGACGACUGGCAAACAGAGGGAAAGAGAGAGAGAAAGCUGCAACUUCUUUACACUUAAGGGAAGUUAUCCUUCCUUUUACAACAACUACAACUGGUUUUGUUUGUGUGUGUGACAGCAACGUGGCUGAUGUAAUGCACCUCAACCGGACUUAAUCUCCUCUUUGUUAGGAAAUCGCUCCUAUCCAACAAAGACUGACUGAUGUCUGCCCCACUACCAGAAGGAAAUCUUUUACACUUUCUGGGUAACUUCAGUUCAAUGUCUUCGGGGUCAAGCUUCGUACUGGCUGCAAUAGGAGAAGCCGCUGGUUGAUUACUACAGGAAAAGGCAACCCUGAAGAGAUGGGGACAAUUUCACUCGCCCAGUAGAAUGACCAUGAAAGUGCUAUGUGAUGGGGUACUCCCCAUCCCUGUGCAUAUUAUGUUUUGUAUUUUUAUGUAUUAUGUUUGGCAGGACGAGCGAUGUGCCGUCCACCAUUGUUUGUUGUUGUUUUAGAUUUUAAAUACCUCUCGUGAGAAUGCGUGACAUUCGGCUAGUAAUUAUUGAAUUAGUUGACAGUCACGCAGAUUUAUUGAACUCGUGCAGAUUAUGGCCGAGGGGUUAAUAAGAUCAUUAAUAGCCAGUUAAUCCCUCGGCCAUAAUAUAAAAAACCGGCAGCUUUGGCUGCACGGGGUUGAGUGUUCAGGAAGUGGAUUACUGGAGUGAGAGAGAGAGGAAGUAAAACAAUAAUUAAAAGAAAACAAUUGCUACUCAUGCUGGAACAACUAGCAUGAUAUUUGUUAUCAUUAUUGUUUGUUUGUUUUGGCCCUCGUGCCGUUUGCUUUCUGAAAGUCUUGUGUUUUGUUUAAACCUUUUAUUUUGAAAUAAACGGGCCGCAGCGCUUUUCAUACCCCAGGUCGGCUGC
Long non-coding RNA from Acipenser ruthenus (sterlet), 1016 nucleotides. RefSeq lists it as uncharacterized. The record is from RefSeq and is a predicted model, not a curated record. Lineage: Eukaryota; Metazoa; Chordata; Actinopteri; Acipenseriformes; Acipenseridae. The transcript is spliced from 3 exons.